CAGCCGCCGCGGUAAUACGUAGGUGGCAAGCGCUGUCCGGAAUUAUUGGGCGUAAAGGGCUCGCAGGCGGUUUCUUAAGUCUGAUGUGAAAGCCCCCGGCUCAACCGGGGAGGGUCAUUGGAAACUGGGAAACUUGAGUGCAGAAGAGGAGAGUGGAAUUCCACGUGUAGCGGUGAAAUGCGUAGAGAUGUGGAGGAACACCAGCGGCGAAGGCGACUCUCUGGUCUGUAACUGACGCUGAGGAGCGAAAGCGUGGGGAGCGAACAGGAUUAGAUACCCCCGUAGUCCCUGUCUCUUAUAC
RNAcentral lists this ribosomal RNA (301 nucleotides) under uncultured bacterium. Its description in RNAcentral is "partial 16S ribosomal RNA". It matches the Rfam family "Bacterial small subunit ribosomal RNA", at positions 509 to 807 of the family's 1533-position model. The record is from RNAcentral.